Molecule: ribosomal RNA, 460 nt
Filed under: uncultured bacterium
Lineage: Bacteria
Description: partial 16S ribosomal RNA
Rfam family: Bacterial small subunit ribosomal RNA
Source: RNAcentral
CCUACGGGUGGCUGCAGUGAGGAAUAUUGGUCAAUGGCCGAGAGGCUGAACCAGCCAAGUCGCGUGAGGGAAGACGGCCCUACGGGUUGUAAACCUCUUUUGUCGGGGAGCAAAGCGAACCACGUGUGGUUCAUUGAGAGUACCCGAAGAAAAAGCAUCGGCUAACUCCGUGCCAGCAGCCGCGGUAAUACGGAGGAUGCGAGCGUUAUCCGGAUUUAUUGGGUUUAAAGGGUGCGCAGGCGGAGGUGCAAGUCAGCGGUCAAAUUGCGGGGCUCAACCGUAAAAUUGCAAUUGAUACUGGCAGUCUUGAGUACAGUUGAGGUAGGCGGAAUUCGUGGUGUAGCGGUGAAAUGCUUAGAUAUCACGAAGAACUCCGAUUGCGAAGGCAGCUUACUAAACUGCCACUGACAUUGAUGCUCGAAAGUGUGGGUAUCAAACAGGAUUAGAUACCCCUGUAGUC